RNAcentral lists this ribosomal RNA (492 nucleotides) under uncultured bacterium. Its description in RNAcentral is "partial 16S ribosomal RNA". It matches the Rfam family "Bacterial small subunit ribosomal RNA", at positions 29 to 507 of the family's 1533-position model. The record is from RNAcentral.
AGUGAACGCUGGCGGUAGGCCUAACACAUGCAAGUCGAACGGCAGCACAGUAAGAGCUUGCUCUUACGGGUGGCGAGUGGCGGACGGGUGAGGAAUACAUCGGAAUCUACUUUUUCGUGGGGGAUAACGUAGGGAAACUUACGCUAAUACCGCAUACGACCUACGGGUGAAAGCAGGGGAUCUUCGGACCUUGCGCGAUUGAAUGAGACGAUGUCGGAUUAGCUAGUUGGCGGGGUAAAGGCCCACCAAGGCGACGAUCCGUAGCUGAUCUGAGAGGAUGAUCAGCCACACUGGAACUGAGACACGGUCCAGACUCCUACGGGAGGCAGCAGUGGGGAAUAUUGGACAAUGGGCGCAAGCCUGAUCCAGCCAUACCGCGUGGGUGAAGAAGGCCUUCGGGUUGUAAAGCCCUUUUGUUGGGAAAGAAAAGCAGCAGGUUAAUACCCCGCUGUUCUGACGGUACCCAAAGAAUAAGCACCGGCUAACUUCGUG